This 1254-nucleotide long non-coding RNA is filed under the name Olea europaea subsp. europaea. Lineage: Eukaryota; Viridiplantae; Streptophyta; Magnoliopsida; Lamiales; Oleaceae. The record is from RNAcentral.
AUUCAAUUAGUUUGAUUGGGAACUCAUAAUUGAAUGCACUUAAUUACUAAUGGGUCAGCCAAAAUUACAAAGAAGGACCAAGACCACUAAACGGGCUCGACCCAUUACUUGACCUAUUAUUAUUACAUUUAAUAUAAUUAUGUGCCCUGUGUAUUUUGACGCAACGCACGGUUUUCGAGGCAAUAUUAUUGAGACUUGGCUGCGCCUUUUUUCGUCCUUGGCUCUUACUUAGUGGCUACCUCUGUCUUCUUCCUCUUUGUGACCGCCUCCUCUGCUCUUUACCAUCAGCUCUUUUUCGGCACUUGGGCUGGACUGUGCCUUUGUCCCCCCGUUGUUGCUCCGUUUCGCCCGUGUUCGACCACUUCUGUGCGUGGUCUUUUUGGCUGGGUUUUUGGUAUUCAUUUGUGGUCCAUUUGAGUGAGUACUCUUGGUCCAAUUUUUGUGGUGUUGUCGUGUGAUUUUCGGCUCUUGAUCUGAGUCUCGAUCCAUCCACUUUCGGUGCUAGUCGGAGCUUGAUGGGGAAGUUUUACUCUUGAUUUACUUUGAUUAAUUUCCAUUAUCUUUUAAUAGUUAACUAACUUUGUGUGGUUAAUUGAUUGAUAGAUAUUUUUGUCACUACACAAGGAACUUUCUGUACACCGAGAACAAUAUUUGUUCAUGUGUCAUUUUAUGGGCUCCUCUUACCCUUGAUGGAAUUGUUGUUGGUCUUCUUCACCCUAAAUCUAGUGGAUAAGCUUCUAUUAAUCGAGCAUUACAUAUCAAAAAUUUAAAUUGCGAUUAAUCAAAUUAGACUUUUGUUUGAUGAAAUUUUGUUCAUACAUUUUGUUGGUGACUCUUACGCUUGAUGGAAUUUUGUUCAUACAUUCUAAAGCAAUAAACAAGGAGGAGCUUGGAACCACAUUAGGCUUUUCCCCAAUUAUCAAGUAUACUGAGCACAAAGAUUAGGUAGUUGCAAGGUCGUUCUUUUGCAACUAUUAUCACAAUGCACCUCGACUGCUGUUGGUGCUAGGCUUGGGCACAGUUCGGAUGGGUUGGGUUGGGCUUAAGCUCAACCCGAAAUCAAAACCAACUUGAUCUAUUUGGGUAAAUUCCAAUUCAAACUGACCACAUCCAGUCGUUGAAACCGAAUUAAACCAAAUUGAGGUCGAGUUGGUUUGGUUUGUCGAUUUGAACAUUUGUCUGAGUUAAAAAACUUUGCCUAUCUAUUCUGGAUAAAAAAUUUGUUUGCCUAUAUAUAAAAUUUUGUUGACUUGC